This is a long non-coding RNA of Orcinus orca (killer whale), 7276 nucleotides long. RefSeq lists it as uncharacterized. The record is from RefSeq and is a predicted model, not a curated record. The transcript is spliced from 3 exons. Lineage: Eukaryota; Metazoa; Chordata; Mammalia; Artiodactyla; Delphinidae.
AAUUAGCCCUUUUGCUUUUAAAACAAUAUCCAGCCAGGUCCUUAGUUUUUUUCCCCCAGAAUAUGAACUAAAACAGUAACUUGCAUUUAUACACUUUUUUCUUCAGAGAUUAUAUAUUUAGUUUUUAAAAAUACGUGUUUAAUAUCCAGGAUCCCCCUUUUUCCCAUUCUAGCUGAUAGUGAAUUAUCUCUUACUGCAAAGGUAGUCUUUUCCCUUAAUUACAUUUUCUUCUCCCUUCCCUAGGCCAAUUCUCAUGAUUCUACUAUUUUUUUAAAGAGGCAAAAUAAGUAAGGUGAAAAUGAUUACAUAAUAAGGUAGUAGAUUUAGGUAAGCAAACGCAGGGGUCCUUAUUUGCAUUUGGUGCUUGGUCCACUUAAAAAGUAGUAUUUUUUCUUUGUAUUUUUCAAGAACCAUAUACUAGACUUAUGAGAAUAGUAUUGCUUUUUUGCUUCUUUGUAGAAAUCUGUUUCUGUAACAACCAAUUUUAGGUAGGCUAAUAAUACUAACUUGUUUUUUUCAGAGUUUGAAAUAAACUUUUUUUUUAGAAUGGUUUUAGAUUUACAGAAAAAUUGGAAAAAUGGUAGAGUUUCCAUAUGCCCUGCCCCCAGUUUCUCUAUUAUUAACAUCUUACAUUAGCAUGGUAUACUUGCCAUAAUUAGUGAACCAAUACUGAUAUGUUAUUAUUAACUAAUGUCCUUAGUUCAUUCAGAUUUCUUAAACUUUGCCUAAUGGCUUUUUCUGUUCCAGGAUACCACCUUACAUUUAGUUUAUGGAUCUUCUUAGUCUCUUAUUUGCUGUAACAGUUUCUUAGAUUUUCAUUGUUUUUGAUGACCUUGACAGUUUUGGUAUUUUUUUUUCUUUUUUUAUUGAGGUAUAACUGACAUACAUUAUUUUAUUAGUUUCAGGUGUAGAUAUUAACUUUAAAAUACCAUAUAACCCUGAGAAACAAAGAAUAGCAUGGGCAGAGCCUAACCUCCACACUUGUUGAUUUUCUGCCUAGAGUUUACUGGUUAAUUUAGCACUUAAUUGAAAAUAUAACUCUAGGAGGAAACUUUCUUUUCUCAAAAUAGACAAAAGGCUAAAUUCUGUAUGUUCAUUAAGUUUUGAUUUUUUUUUUUUUCAAAGUAUGGGGAAACCUGAAUUGGGAAGUUUGUCACAUGUCCAAAGAAAUGUAAGGACAGAAUAGACUGAUCAGCACCACCUGUCCUCAACCCUCCCCCCCAAGUAGAUUAGACUGGUUUAGUUACUUUGUUGGGCUAUUCACCAACAGCUGUUUGCUGAAUAUUUUUAAGUCUCUCUGUUCUUUUAGAAGAGAAGCCUGAUUUAUCUGGCCUCUCAGUAGCACUGAUUACUGAGUUCUUGCUGUAGCCUUCUGCUUGAUCUUUUCCAUUUUGGAAAAACUCAAUAAAAGCAAGUGUCACAGUUUUAGGAUUGCAAUUAGCAUUUGCUUCUGCAUUUCAUCUUUCUGAAGUUUGUACAGUGACUAAAACAUUCUCAUUUUUGGAAGUUCAGCAAAAUGAGGGAAGCAUAGUUCAGAAAAUUCUCAUGCUGAGGAGUACAAGUCCCUCUCUUGUCAUUCCUUUUCCCAUGUGUUCCAAACUGAGGCCGUAUAAAGUAUAACUGUAAUGUGACUUUUUCAACAAAUAGAGUGGCUAUAUCCAAAUUAGUUAUUCCCUUGAAGUGGUCAACUUUGGAGGGCAUACAUUUAUUUCAGGGAAAACUGCCUUUGCUUAAUGUGCUCAGAAUUUUAAUUUUGGAUCACUGUUUUUCUUUUGGCACAUUAUUCUGACUGCUCUGUCACAGUAAAUUUUCAUCUUUGGGGGGUAAAUUACACUUUAAGAAACAUUCACAAGUCACUCAGAUCAAAUUAGGGGAAUAAAAUGGCAGGAUGAAAUAGAAUAAUCUCUUUUUAAACACAUCUCAGAUGUGAAGUAAUGGGACUGUUUUUCUUGUAUAACUAUAUACUGCCCCCUAAGGCUUUCCAAAAGAGGCAUUCCAAAAAACAUUUGAAAGGUGAGAACUUGGGUAGAAUAAGAGCAUGGUUUUCCAGGGUGAAAAGAUGUCUGAGUACUCUGAAGGAGAAGAUUCAAAUGCUCGUCUUAGGUUGUUGAAACAAUCUCAGUACUUGAUAUCAACCUUCAGUGCAUCCGAAUUUCCUGUAGAACCUAGAUAGGUAAGUAGAUAGAUAGAUAGAUAGAAAGAUAGGUAGAUAGAUGCAUCCCUAGGCCUCAUACCAUUCUUAACUGUAUCACAAUCUUUGGAACUGGUGUUCAGGUAGAUAUAUUUUAAAAAAUACCAGAGAUUUUCUGACAGCACCAAAAAUUGAGGACCAUUGCUUUACAUUUCGUAUAUAUUUCAUAUACUCCCUGAGGUACAGAGUUGACUUUUUUGUACAUACUAUCCUUUGUAAGUAGGGGAACGUACUUGCCUCCGUAAAGAGGCAUUUGUAUUCUCUCACAGAAGCAAAAAGAUGUUCUCAUUUCCUUCAAUCCAAAAGAGUUCUUUUCUAUUGAGCUGCUGCUUCAAACCAUCUGUACUUUUCCUACAUACCAUUUGUCACACUGUACAACUUACUACUUUUAUCAGUCCCACUAGAAUGGAAACUCCAUAAAGUCAAGGACCAUGUCUGUUUUGCUAUCACUAUGACCCAGCACAGUGGCUAGCCCAUAACAGGCACUCAAGAAGAAAAGAAAGGAUCAGAAAUAAAUAUGCAAGGCUAAUAGGCCAUGAUUUAACAAAAGUAGGCCUGAACCUGAACUUGCCUUAAUGAUUUUGAAAUACAAUGCUAUAUAUAGCAACAAAUAUUUAUUAAGUUGUGCGUUAGAGCACUAAACAGAGUCGAGUGACUGAGGCACCAAUCCCAGUUCUCCCAUUUGGUAGUAUAGACCUUGAGAUUGUUACUAAAACUCUUCUGUUGCUUCAUUUGUAUUGAAUAAGAAAAGGUGGUUAAUCUGAAGGAUCUCUGUAAUUCUUUCUAUCUCUGAAAAUUCUGUGAUUCUAAGUGCCUGGUAUUACGCCAGGCACAAUAGCUGACAGCAAAAGAAGCUUUCUUAAGGACUCAUUGUAAGUUGUUUAGAUGUAUAUUUCACCAACUAAGAGAUGACUUACUAAAUUUCAAGUGAGUUCCUAAGUCUAGAACCCCUAUGCCCAAGGACAAGAAUAAACAUAAUAACAUUAAGUGUUUUCUGUAGGAAAGGCAUUCUCUGUGAAACCAGCCUUCCCUUCUCUAGAAGAAGGGAAUAUUUUUGCAGCUGUGAAGUGUGCAACUUUUCCUACGUGACAGUGUUUUGUUGUGCUGACGGACUAGGAAAAAGAGAAGUUAGGAGAGUGGAAUUUUUAACAGUUUUUAAAUCCUCUUCACUUAUCACUCAGCAACUGGAACAAGAGAAACGUGAACUAAGACGAUUUGAGAACCAAGAAGGGGAGUGGGAAGGAUGCGAAGCUGAGCUGGAGAAUGAUGUGAAAGAGCUUCAGGAUGAGUUGGAGAGGCAGCAAGUUCAUCUAUGGGAAGUAGAUGGAGAACAAACACAGGCUGUCCAGGAAUUAUCAGAACAGAACCAAAGGUUAUUGGCUCAAUUCAGGGAUGCUGCAGAGGGAAGAGAUGUGAACACUUCGACAUGAAUAAACAUUGUCCUCCCACUGUGCUGAGAUCAUUGGGAGAAGCACCGAAUUGGGUAAGAAACAGCCAUUCACUUCCUCUAAGAAGUUAUACAAAGUCUUAGCCUUGAAAUAUUCCAAAGCAUUUCAUUGUUAGGGCCCAACAGUGUGUUUUCAGGUCGAAAAAAAUCUAGUUCCACCUGCUCUCUAAAAACAGUGGUAACUGAGGUGUCCUUUAGGGUCCCCGAACCGUGAGAUUUUAAAUAUUUGGUUGUUUAGUCCCAGUGCUGGGACACUGACACUAUCAAAUGAAAGGUGUUUUUUGGUUUGUUUUUGCAAACAGUGUGUGGGGGUGGGGGGGUGUAAUUCAAAGCAACAUUUAAACGGAAAGACAUUCUCUCUCAGAAGCAGGAGGAAAAAGUGCCUUAUUUGCACAUGCAAAGAAACUCGUGACAGGCUCACCACGCCCCACCUGCAGCCUGGCCCCCUAAGGCAGUGAGUAGGUACCCCGGAGAUUCCCCGGCUUUGGAAACACACUCACAUACUUUCUUCAUGGCAGGACAUGCCUCUCCUUGGCUAGCUGGGACUUCUUUUUCUUCUUCCUCCUUUUCCAGGUGAGGCAGCCAGCACCUCUCAGGAAGCCCCUCAGAGAUGGUAAAAAUCCAUGCUUCCGAGUGGAAAGAGCUCUUACAGUCUCGUAGUUUAGGUUUGAAUUCACUGACUAGCUGUGUGAUCUUAGGCAAGUCAUGAAACCUCUUUGAAUCUCCGUCUCCUCACCUCUAAAAUAGCUAGAAAAAGUAUCUGCCAGUUGUUUUAAGGGUUCAAAAUAAUACAUGUGCAGUUCUUGGCACCUGGUAGGUACUAAAUAUCUAGGAGCUAUUACUCCAUCCAGGUGACGAAGUGAGGGGAGUCUAGCCAUUCUCCUCACCCUCACUUCUCCAGAUGGGGUCCCCAAACCAGCAGCAUUAACUGUGAGCGCGUUAGGAAGGCAGACCUGCUGAGUCACGCUUGGCAGUGUAACCAGAUCCCUGGGUUCAUUCCUCUGCACAUCAGCCUGUGAGAGGCUGCAGCCUCAGCUGUGCCAGGCCCUGGUGGGGCCCCCGCAGGACUGUAUCCCAACUGGAACACAGCCUCCUCUUUAGCCCCCUCCAGGCUCCAGCCACGUGAAACACUGGCAUGUACCGCAGGCUUCGUCUUUAAUCUUCGUGGGUCAGCUCAUUUAAUCUUCAAACAAUCCUCGGAGGGAAUGCUGCUCUCUCCAUUUUCCAAAUGAGAAAACUAACCCUACAUGAUGAAAAAUCGCUUCCCUGUCGUCACCCAGCUCAUCUGUCACAGAGGCAGGUUGAAACCCAGGGUCAUUUGAAUCCAGAAGUGUGGCUGACAAAGCCUCUCCUUGACUAGACUCUUGCUGGGCUCCCCUAAGCUCUCUUCCUGACUGGGCCUCAACCUCAGCCUAUAAAAACAGCAGACUCUCAGCACGAAUGAUUUAGGGUCUCUGUGAGAGGCUAGGAGCCUAACUUCCUUGAGCGCCUGAAGUUAGAUAACCCAGAUAAGUUUCAUGUGGAGCCCUCCACCUUCCCGCUUUUUGUACAUUUAGCAGGAAUUUCCACGUGUAAACCCCACCAUUGCCCCUCCCUGCUCUCUCAUUCUCCCUUUAAAAUGCCCUCUGUACAAAUGGAAGUUGAGGUCAGUUCAUGCUGGGCCAUCUUUCCUACUGCAAUAGCAUAUUACUGAUUAAUAUUUGUCCUUAACACUUUAGUGUCUGUCUGUGUUUAUCUGUGACACCUCUUUACCACUAGGUUAUCUAUCUAAUGCUGAUAAGAUGGAGAAUUCCCUGAAAUCAUUUCUCCAUUCAGCCAACUUGAUUAAAAGAACUCUGCUCCCAGAGUACUUGUCCAACAGGUGAUCACAGGUUUGGACCCCGGGUCCAAACCUCUGUCUUUCCUCCGUCUUUCUGCGCUGACGCUUACACACAUUAGUGAGGUCGAUGGAGGGGAGAGGGCUGUAGCCGCAGGGCACCAUGGAGGGCAGUAUAAAUACUGAUCCAGAUGUCCCAGAGAUGCUCAACCAGUGCUUCGGCCCUGGACUUGCAUCCAGUUUCCCUGUGACUGCAAAGAGGUGAGCUGCAGCACAGCCCUGGCAUCCCCAGGGCAUCCCUGGGGAACUCUAAGUCCCGGGUGGUGACAGACAGGAGCCAUCUAUUAGAUGACCACUGGGGACUCUAGGAGGGGAAUGCUGGUGGAGAACACUGGAGCCUGUUCUUUCAACAUCACCCCCAGUGAUGUCCUGAAGGCACCCCACCCAGGCGAAUUACCUGGAAUCCAGUCUCUUUCUUACAGCCUCUCUGGGAUUAUUCUGGAAUGAUCUGACAAUAUCUGAAAUCAGGGCUUGGAGGAGCACAGGCAGCUGUGGAUGCCAAGACCCCAAGUCGCUACAGGGAACAUGAGGUGGGGGAGAAUGGGAAGGGAGGGCUGGAACCCUGAGGCCCGGGGACUGUCACGGGACCUCUGGGGAGGACUCAGCCCUACGGGAAUCUAGCCCCUGAUGUCAAGAGAUGAGCAGAGGAAUGUGUGUUCAAUUGCUUUCGGAUAGCAAAUUACUGUGAGACACUAGUAUGUUAUGAGGACAUUUUGUUCCCAUUCCCAAGGCAGGCUGAUAGGAAGGCAGGCCCAGCCACACAGGGCUGGUGGCAAGAUGUAAGUGUGCCACAGAUAAAACUGGUCAGGCACGCUCAUCACCAUGCCAGGCCUGUCCACGCCCAGCGGGCACCCACACCACACGCUGACCCCACUCCAGAGGAGCACAGUGCUGGGCGUCACCACACUAGCUACUGCGUCGGCCCACCAGAAAUGCCAACUGUCUGCUGAAGGUGGGGGAAAAGCCGGAUAAGGACCAGGUUCGACUUCCUUUAUCCUUUGGAUUUUCUGCUCGUAUCUUGUUAAGGCCCUGCCCCUCAUCCCCCUGCCUUUCCUUCUCUUUUUUUUCUUUAAUUUUAAUUUUGUGGGUGGUUCUUUUGGAGCCCUCUACAGCUUUAGGGAACUUUGAACCCACUCUAGUCUUCCUUUAUUCCUUCUUCAUCCUGGUGAACUCUGGAGAGCAGAAGGAGCUUUUAGAAACUCAAAUCAAAGCAUAUCGCGCUGCCACCUAAACUCACCAUUCUGUCACAUUUAGAACCAACACCAAACUCCUCACCAAGGCCCCUGAGGCCUAAUAUGAUCCACCACCUCCUACUCUCUCUGCUCUGUACCCAGACAUACUGGGCUGCCCCACAGGGCCUCUGCAUCUGCUGCUCCUUCUUCUGAAGCACCCUUGCCCAUUCUCGUCGUGCAGGUCUGGCUCAAAUGCCUCUUCUGGCACAAGUCCUCCCUCCUGAGCCCCCAGCUCUGCACCCCCAGCAGUGCCUAUCACAUCACCCACCACAGCACUCACCACAGCACCCUCAUCACUCAUCAGUCACCCAGCACAGCACCCACAUCACUUGUCAGUCACCCAGCACAGCACCCUCGUCACUCAUCAAUCACCCACCACAGCACCCUCGUCACUCAUCAGUUACCCAGCACAGCACCCAUGUCACUCAUCAGUCACCCAGCACAGCACCCUUGUCACUCAUCAGUCACCCAGCACAGCACCCAUGUCACUCAUCAGUCACCCAGCACAGCCCCCUCGUCACUCUUCAGUC